Molecule: ribosomal RNA, 232 nt
Filed under: Priestia megaterium
Lineage: Bacteria; Bacillati; Bacillota; Bacilli; Caryophanales; Bacillaceae
Description: partial 23S ribosomal RNA
Rfam family: Bacterial large subunit ribosomal RNA
Source: RNAcentral
AGCUGUGAUGACGAGGGAAUUAUAGUACCGAAGUUCCUGAUUCCACACUGCCAAGAAAAGCCUCUAGCGAGGCGGGAGGUGCCCGUACCGCAAACCGACACAGGGAGGCGAGGAGAGAAUCCUAAGGGGAUCGAGAGAACUCUCGUUAAGGAACUCGGCAAAAUGACCCCGUAACUUCGGGAGAAGGGGUGCUCUGGUAGGGGGUAUAGCCCGAGAGAGCCGCAGUGAAUAG